GGUCCAGCAUUAACUCAAACCAAGCUGAGAAACCUUAACAAGCCUAGUGGAAGUCUUCCUAUGCAUGCUGUGCUAUUAUACAAUGAAUCACUCCAGAUACAUUUGCAAAAUUUCAGAACAACAGGUGUUUAUUCUGCUAUUGCCUGAUAAUAUAUGAUUUAACAGGGGUCGAAGCGAAGCGAGUCAUCUUCCCUAAUUUCCACAUCGAUGGUCAUCCUAGUCAUGUUGAUCUGAAAUCAAGAAUCAAGAUCAUUGGUGCAGAUUGUGGCCCUUGACUCUGGCAUGGACUUACAAUUUUAUUGUCGUUGUUUUUUAUAUAGAGGUAUCACUUCAUAGGCAACUUAAGUUUUUGAUUCUAGCUUGCAUAAUUGCAUCAAGAAAACAAAAGAUUCUAGCUUAUGCUCAAGUUAAACUUUGCUGGGUUCUUGGACAGCUUUAUGCCCUUUCAAUCCACGAAAACACUUCUUGAUUUGCUUAUUUUCCUGGUAAAAUAAAAUCCUAUUGAAGAUGCUUGUAUCUCAUAAGAUGUCCUCUCCAUGUCUGUUGUUGCUCGAGUCAUGUUUAGUUUGAUUUCAGCUUCCUCUGUUUUGUAUUUAGAUCUGGACAAUUAUCUGGGAGUCAAAAAUAUCUUACUAUCGCUCUUGUCCAAACAUGCUUAA
Phoenix dactylifera (date palm) is the source of this 659-nucleotide long non-coding RNA. RefSeq lists it as uncharacterized. Lineage: Eukaryota; Viridiplantae; Streptophyta; Magnoliopsida; Arecales; Arecaceae. The record is from RefSeq and is a predicted model, not a curated record.